This 213-nucleotide unclassified non-coding RNA is filed under the name fungal sp. RNAcentral's name for it is "partial internal transcribed spacer region". The stretch from base 1 to 46 matches the Rfam family "Eukaryotic small subunit ribosomal RNA", at positions 1786 to 1831 of the family's 1831-position model. Lineage: Eukaryota; Fungi. The record is from RNAcentral.
AAGUCGUAACAAGGUUUCCGUAGGUGAACCUUCGGAAGGAUCAUUACUGAAAGUGCCGCAAGGCACGCUUCACCCACCCUUGUUUUUGAGCACCUUUGUUUCCUCGGCAGGCUCGCCUGCCAAUGGGGACUACCAAAACACCUUGCAGUAAGCAGUUUCUGUUCAGAUAAAAGCAAACAAUCAAAACUUUCAACAACGGAUCUCUUGGUUCUG